RNAcentral lists this ribosomal RNA (533 nucleotides) under Sus scrofa (pig). RNAcentral describes it as "partial 16S ribosomal RNA". It matches the Rfam family "Bacterial large subunit ribosomal RNA", at positions 1855 to 2607 of the family's 2925-position model. Lineage: Eukaryota; Metazoa; Chordata; Mammalia; Artiodactyla; Suidae. The record is from RNAcentral.
AUGCCUGCCCAGUGACACCAGUUUAACGGCCGCGGUAUUCUGACCGUGCAAAGGUAGCAUAAUCACUUGUUCUCCAAAUAAGGACUUGUAUGAAUGGCCACACGAGGGUUUUACUGUCUCUUACUUCCAAUCAGUGAAAUUGACCUUCCCGUGAAGAGGCGGGAAUAAAAAAAUAAGACGAGAAGACCCUAUGGAGCUUUAAUUAACUAUUCCAAAAGUUAAACAAUUCAACCACAAAGGGAUAAAACAUAACUUAACAUGGACUAGCAAUUUCGGUUGGGGUGACCUCGGAGUACAAAAAACCCUCCGAGUGAUUUUAAUCUAGACAAACCAGUCAAAAUAACCAUAACAUCACUUAUUGAUCCAAAAUUUUGAUCAACGGAACAAGUUACCCUAGGGAUAACAGCGCAAUCCUAUUCUAGAGUUCCUAUCGACAAUAGGGUUUACGACCUCGAUGUUGGAUCAGGACACCCAAAUGGUGCAACCGCUAUUAAAGGUUCGUUUGUUCAACGAUUAAAGUCCUACAUGAUCUG